CAAGACCGGUGCCAGCCGCCGCGGUAAUACCGGCGGCUCGAGUGGUGGCCACUAUUACUGGGCUUAAAGCGUUCGUAGCUGGGUUGUUAAGUCUCUUGGGAAAUCUACCGGCUUAACCGAUAGGCGUCCAAGGGAUACUGGCAAUCUAGGGACCGGGAGAGGUGAGGGGUACUUCAGGGGUAGGAGUGAAAUCCUGUAAUCCUUGGGGGACCACCUGUGGCGUAGGCGCCUCACCAGAACGGCUCCGACAGUGAGGGACGAAAGCUGGGGGAGCAAACCGGAUUAGAUACCCUAGUAGUC
Molecule: ribosomal RNA, 300 nt
Filed under: uncultured Methanosphaerula sp.
Lineage: Archaea; Methanobacteriati; Methanobacteriota; Methanomicrobia; Methanomicrobiales; Methanoregulaceae
Description: bacterial SSU rRNA
Rfam family: Archaeal small subunit ribosomal RNA
Source: RNAcentral